AGUGGAUGCUUGCAGUUUCACAUGGUGUCUCCUUUCUGUGGUGACAACUGUGCAGAACCAUCCCAGAGUAACACUGAAGCUAUCUGUUCAUCCCUGGAUAGUUAACAGGGUUGGAUCGUUCCACUUCUGACAUA
Molecule: small nucleolar RNA, 134 nt
Filed under: Podarcis lilfordi (Lilford's wall lizard)
Lineage: Eukaryota; Metazoa; Chordata; Lepidosauria; Squamata; Lacertidae
Rfam family: Small Cajal body specific RNA 24
About the family: scaRNAs are a specific class of small nuclear RNAs which localise to the Cajal bodies and guide the modification of RNA polymerase II transcribed spliceosomal RNAs U1, U2, U4, U5 and U12.
Source: RNAcentral